RNAcentral lists this ribosomal RNA (494 nucleotides) under uncultured bacterium. RNAcentral's name for it is "partial 16S ribosomal RNA". It matches the Rfam family "Bacterial small subunit ribosomal RNA", at positions 28 to 507 of the family's 1533-position model. The record is from RNAcentral.
GACGAACGCUGGCGGCGUGCUUAACACAUGCAAGUCGAACGGUGAAGCGCCUUCCUUUUUGGUGGGUGUGGAUGAGUGGCGAACGGGUGAGUAACACGUGAGUAACCUGCCCCCUUCUUCUGGAUAACCGCAUGAAAGUGUGGCUAAUACGGGAUAUUCUGGGUCUGUCGCAUGAUGGGUCUGGGAAAGAUAUUGUUUCGGUGGGGGAUGGGCUCGCGGCCUAUCAGCUUGUUGGUGGGGUGAUGGCCUACCAAGGCGGUGACGGGUAGCCGGCCUGAGAGGGUGGACGGUCACACUGGGACUGAGACACGGCCCAGACUCCUACGGGAGGCAGCAGUGGGGAAUAUUGCACAAUGGGCGCAAGCCUGAUGCAGCGACGCCGCGUGAGGGAUGGAGGCCUUCGGGUUGUGAACCUCUUUCGCCAGUGAAGCAGGCCUGCCUCGUUUGUGGGUGGGUUGACGCUAGCUGGAUAAGAAGCGCCGGCUAACUACGUG